AGACCCGAAACCCGGUGAUCUAGCCAUGGGCAGGUUGAAGGUUGGGUAACACUAACUGGAGGACCGAACCGACUAAUGUUGAAAAAUUAGCGGAUGACCUGUGGCUGGGGGUGAAAGGCCAAUCAAACCGGGAGAUAGCUGGUUCUCCCCGAAAGCUAUUUAGGUAGCGCCUCGUGAAUUCAUCUCCGGGGGUAGAGCACUGUUUCGGCUAGGGGGCCAUCCCGGCUUACCAACCCGAUGCAAACUGCGAAUACCGGAGAAUGUUAUCACGGGAGACACACGGCGGGUGCUAACGUCCGUCGUGAAGAGGGAAACAACCCAGACCGCCAGCUAAGGUCCCAAAGUCAUGGUUAAGUGGGAAACGAUGUGGGAAGGCCCAGACAGCCAGGAUGUUGGCUUAGAAGCAGCCAUCAUUUAAAGAAAGCGUAAUAGCUCACUGGUCGAGUCGGCCUGCGCGGAAGAUGUAACGGGGCUAAACCAUGCACCGAAGCUGCGGCAGCGACACUAUGUGUUGUUGGGUAGGGGAGCGUUCUGUAAGCCGUUGAAGGUGUCCUGUGAGGGAUGCUGGAGGUAUCAGAAGUGCGAAUGCUGACAUAAGUAACGAUAAAGCGGGUGAAAAGCCCGCUCGCCGGAAGACCAAGGGUUCCUGUCCAACGUUAAUCGGGGCAGGGUGAGUCGACCCCUAAGGCGAGGCCGAAAGGCGUAGUCGAUGGGAAACGGGUUAAUAUUCCCGUACUUGGUGUUACUGCGAAGGGGGGACGGAGAAGGCUAUGUUGGCCGGGCGACGGUUGUCCCGGUUUAAGCGUGUAGGUGUGUGUUCCAGGUAAAUCCGGUUCACUUUAACACUGAGGCGUGACGACGAGGCACUACGGUGCUGAAGCAACAAAUGCCCUGCUUCCAGGAAAAGCCUCUAAGCAUCAGGUAACAUCAAAUCGUACCCCAAACCGACACAGGUGGUCAGGUAGAGAAUACCAAGGCGCUUGAGAGAACUCGGGUGAAGGAACUAGGCAAAAUGGUGCCGUAACUUCGGGAGAAGGCACGCUGACACGUAGGUGAAGUGAUUUACUCACGGAGCUGAAGUCAGUCGAAGAUACCAGCUGGCUGCAACUGUUUAUUAAAAACACAGCACUGUGCAAACACGAAAGUGGACGUAUACGGUGUGACGCCUGCCCGGUGCCGGAAGGUUAAUUGAUGGGGUCAGCGCAAGCGAAGCUCCUGAUCGAAGCCCCGGUAAACGGCGGCCGUAACUAUAACGGUCCUAAGGUAGCGAAAUUCCUUGUCGGGUAAGUUCCGACCUGCACGAAUGGCGUAAUGAUGGCCAGGCUGUCUCCACCCGAGACUCAGUGAAAUUGAACUCGCUGUGAAGAUGCAGUGUACCCGCGGCAAGACGGAAAGACCCCGUGAACCUUUACUAUAGCUUGACACUGAACAUUGAGCCUUGAUGUGUAGGAUAGGUGGGAGGCUUUGAAGCGUGGACGCCAGUCUGCGUGGAGCCGACCUUGAAAUACCACCCUUUAAUGUUUGAUGUUCUAACGUGGACCCGUAAUCCGGGUUGCGGACAGUGUCUGGUGGGUAGUUUGACUGGGGCGGUCUCCUCCUAAAGAGUAACGGAGGAGCACGAAGGUUGGCUAAUCCUGGUCGGACAUCAGGAGGUUAGUGCAAUGGCAUAAGCCAGCUUGACUGCGAGCGUGACGGCGCGAGCAGGUGCGAAAGCAGGUCAUAGUGAUCCGGUGGUUCUGAAUGGAAGGGCCAUCGCUCAACGGAUAAAAGGUACUCCGGGGAUAACAGGCUGAUACCGCCCAAGAGUUCAUAUCGACGGCGGUGUUUGGCACCUCGAUGUCGGCUCAUCACAUCCUGGGGCUGAAGUAGGUCCCAAGGGUAUGGCUGUUCGCCAUUUAAAGUGGUACGCGAGCUGGGUUUAGAACGUCGUGAGACAGUUCGGUCCCUAUCUGCCGUGGGCGCUGGAGAACUGAGGGGGGCUGCUCCUAGUACGAGAGGACCGGAGUGGACGCAUCACUGGUGUUCGGGUUGUCAUGCCAAUGGCACUGCCCGGUAGCUAAAUGCGGAAGAGAUAAGUGCUGAAAGCAUCUAAGCACGAAACUUGCCCCGAGAUGAGUUCUCCCUGAGACUACGAGUCUCCUGAAGGAACGUUGAAGACGACGACGUUGAUAGGCCGGGUGUGUAAGCGCAGCGAUGCGUUGAGCUAACCGGUACUAAUGAACCGUGAGGCUUAACCUUACAA
This 2242-nucleotide ribosomal RNA is filed under the name Salmonella enterica subsp. enterica serovar Veneziana. Its description in RNAcentral is "partial 23S ribosomal RNA". It matches the Rfam family "Bacterial large subunit ribosomal RNA", at positions 711 to 2925 of the family's 2925-position model. The record is from RNAcentral. Lineage: Bacteria; Pseudomonadati; Pseudomonadota; Gammaproteobacteria; Enterobacterales; Enterobacteriaceae.